Molecule: long non-coding RNA, 1817 nt
Filed under: Homo sapiens (human)
Lineage: Eukaryota; Metazoa; Chordata; Mammalia; Primates; Hominidae
Description: long intergenic non-protein coding RNA 847
Source: RNAcentral
UUUUUUUUUUUUUGAGACGGAGUUUCGCUCUUUUUGCCCAGGCUGGAGGGCAAUGGCGCCGUCUCGGCUCCCUGCAGCCGCCGCCUCCCGGGUUGAAGGGACUCUCCGGCCUCAGGCCGCGGUGUUCUUGUAAAUUAGAACCGGCCUAUGCGCCAAGCGCGGGUCUCGCGGCUGCGGAGAGAGGCCCAGCAGGGGGCGGGGACGCCGGGAGGCGGGGCCUGGCCGAGCUGCGCACACCCGGGUGGUUCUGGCUACGGGUACCCGGACCUGCCCAACGACCGUUCUCCAUUCCCGACCUCCGCACCCUACCCGGUCCGCAGGGCACCUUCCUCCUCUCUCUCAGGCACGUCCUCGACCUCAGUUGCCACGUGCACAUGCUGGUGCCUUCCAGGCUGGAGUAUAGUGGCAUGAUCAUAGAUCACUGCAGCCUCAAACUCCUGGGCUCAAGCGAUCCUCCCACCUCAGCCUCCAUAUAGCUGGUGGGGACCAAGUUUCUAACACAUGAAUGUUGGGAGACACAUUCAGACCAUCGCAGUGGCCUUAUAAAAAGAGACACAAGAGCUUGCUCUCUGCCAUGUGAGAAUACCACAAGAAGACUGUCCUCAGCAAAUCAGAAAGCGGGUGGACCCUCAUCAGACACCAGAUGUGCCUGCACCUUGAUCUUGGACUUGCCAGCCUUCAGAACAGUAAGAAAGAAAUGUGUGUUGUUUAAGCCACCCAGUCUAUGGUAACUUGCUAUAGCAGCCCACUAGGAGACCCCAAGAUAUUUAAAAACUCAUCAGCACCUGCUUUCUGCAUCUGGACCCUGAUCUUCUGGUGGGUUUACCAGUUACUUGUAGAGUGUCCCUGUGAUAGUUUUAGGUGUCAACUUGACAGGAUUGAGGGAUGCCUAGAUGGCUGGGGAAGCACUGUUUCUGAGAAGGACCAUGUUUUUGGAGGAGACUGUUUUAUGAGUGAAUUUCAGGGGACACAUUCAGAUCAUGGCAGUGGCAUUAUAAAGAGAGACACAAAAGCUUGCUCUCUCUCUCUGCCAUGUAAGACUACCACACAAAGACUGCCAUCUGCAAACCAGAAGCAGGUGGGCUUUCCUCAGACACCAGAUCUGCCUGCACCUUGAUCUUGGACUUGCCAGCCUUCAGAACUCUAAGAAAGAAAUGGUAGCAUGGCUUGGUCUAAGUUGGAAGGCCUGAGAAACAAGCACAUGGUGGAACUGAGUUCAAGGAUAAAGACUUGAGAAUACCUGCUCAGUGGACUGAGUAGGGAAGAUCAACCCUCAAUGUAGGCAGGCACUAUCCAAUCACCUGAGGGCCCAGAUGGAACAAAAAGGUGGAAGAAGGGUGAAUUCUCUCUUCCAGAGCUGUGACACCCUUCUCAUGCCCUUGUACCACACAACUCUAGGUCCUUUGGCCUUUGGACUCUGACACUUGCACCAGUGGCCCUCUGGGGCUCUCAAGCCUUUAGCCUUGAACUUAGUUACACCAUGUGCCUCCUUGUUUCUCAGGCCUUCCAACUUGGAUCAGGCCAUGCCACCGGCUUCUCUGAUUCUCCAGCUUGCAGAUGGUAUAUUGUGACCCUGGCAUUUAAUAACUAUGACUUUGGUCUUAAGCAAUUUUCUUCCUCUGUGGAUUGAUAUUUACAUAUCAAUGUGGAUAAUAAUUUCUUACCACGGUAACUGUUGUGAGGUAAAAAUGAGUUAACAUAAGUAAAACCGAGCACAUGCAAACCAUCCGAAAUGGUUAAUACUUACUAUUUGUACUUGAAGAAAUAAAUGUUUUUGACAAUAAACUUCUUGUGCAGUUUUCCUCAGCCAGUGUCAA